RNAcentral lists this ribosomal RNA (421 nucleotides) under uncultured bacterium. RNAcentral's name for it is "bacterial SSU rRNA". It matches the Rfam family "Bacterial small subunit ribosomal RNA", at positions 356 to 774 of the family's 1533-position model. The record is from RNAcentral.
GAGGAAUAUUGGGCAAUGCCCGCAAGGGUGACCCAGCAACGCCGCGUGGAGGAUGAAUGUCGUAAGAUUGUAAACUCCUGUUAGAGGGGAAGAAUAGUACCGGUUGGACCGGUAUAUGACUGUACCCUCAGAGAAAGCCCCGGCUAACUACGUGCCAGCAGCCGCGGUAAUACGUAGGGGGCAAGCGUUGUCCGGAUUUACUGGGCGUAAAGCGCGUGCAGGCGGAUUGGAGAGUUGGAUGUGAAAGCUCCCGGCUCAACUGGGAGAGGUCGUUCAAUACUUCCAGUCUUGAGUGCAGUAGAGGGAAGUGGAAUUCCGGUUGUAGUGGUGAAAUGCGUAGAUAUCCGGAGGAACACCAGUGGCGAAAGCGGCUUCCUGGACUGUAACUGACGCUCAGACGCGAAAGCUAGGGUAGCAAACG